This 1342-nucleotide ribosomal RNA is filed under the name uncultured bacterium. Its description in RNAcentral is "16S ribosomal RNA". It matches the Rfam family "Bacterial small subunit ribosomal RNA", at positions 28 to 1378 of the family's 1533-position model. The record is from RNAcentral.
GACGAACGCUGGCGGCGUGCUUAACACAUGCAAGUCGAACGGAAAGGCCCUGCUUUUGUGGGGUGCUCGAGUGGCGAACGGGUGAGUAACACGUGAGUAACCUGCCCUUGACUUUGGGAUAACUCCAGGAAACUGGGGCUAAUACCGGAUAGGAGCUCCUGCUGCAUGGUGGGGGUUGGAAAGUUUCGGCGGUUGGGGAUGGACUCGCGGCUUAUCAGCUUGUUGGUGGGGUAGUGGCUUACCAAGGCUUUGACGGGUAGCCGGCCUGAGAGGGUGACCGGCCACAUUGGGACUGAGAUACGGCCCAGACUCCUACGGGAGGCAGCAGUGGGGAAUAUUGCACAAUGGGCGGAAGCCUGAUGCAGCAACGCCGCGUGCGGGAUGACGGCCUUCGGGUUGUAAACCGCUUUCGCCUGUGACGAAGCGUGAGUGACGGUAAUGGGUAAAGAAGCACCGGCUAACUACGUGCCAGCAGCCGCGGUGAUACGUAGGGUGCGAGCGUUGUCCGGAUUUAUUGGGCGUAAAGGGCUCGUAGGUGGUUGAUCGCGUCGGAAGUGUAAUCUUGGGGCUUAACCCUGAGCGUGCUUUCGAUACGGGUUGACUUGAGGAAGGUAGGGGAGAAUGGAAUUCCUGGUGGAGCGGUGGAAUGCGCAGAUAUCAGGAGGAACACCAGUGGCGAAGGCGGUUCUCUGGGCCUUUCCUGACGCUGAGGAGCGAAGCGUGGGGAGCGAACAGGCUUAGAUACCCUGGUAGUCCACGCUGUAAACGGUGGGUACUAGGUGUGGGGUCCAUUCCACGGGUUCCGUGCCGUAGCUAACGCUUUAAGUACCCCGCCUGGGGAGUACGGCCGCAAGGCUAAAACUCAAAGGAAUUGACGGGGCCCCGCACAAGCGGCGGAGCAUGCGGAUUAAUUCGAUGCAACGCGUAGAACCUUACCUGGGUUUGACAUGGAUCGGGAGUGCUCAGAGAUGGGUGUGCCUCUUUUGGGGUCGGUUCACAGGUGGUGCAUGGCUGUCGUCAGCUCGUGUCGUGAGAUGUUGGGUUAAGUCCCGCAACGAGCGCAACCCUUGUUCACUGUUGCCAGCACGUUAUGGUGGGGACUCAGUGGAGACCGCCGGGGUCAACUCGGAGGAAGGUGGGGAUGACGUCAAGUCAUCAUGCCCCUUAUGUCCAGGGCUUCACGCAUGCUACAAUGGCUGGUACAGAGAGUGGCGAGCCUGUGAGGGUGAGCGAAUCUCGGAAAGCCGGUCUCAGUUCGGAUUGGGGUCUGCAACUCGACCUCAUGAAGUCGGAGUCGCUAGUAAUCGCAGAUCAGCAACGCUGCGGUGAAUACGUUCCCGGG